UGUGGUUUAGUUUCACUUUUAAAUUCCUACUUCAUUCCUGCCCUUGAAAAUCUGCAAGUUUGGUAUUAAUCCAAAUAUUCACAAAACCAUUUCCUAUGGUGUUAUCUUUUGCUUUUUCCAGGAAGUAAAUCACCAGUUCAUAAAAUACCUACAAGAAAGCCAGGUUCCAGGCAUAGGAAGUGCGUGAUGAAAAAUCUGGAAAGCAGGAGAUUACCGCUCUCGGGACAUAAACCAUGGUCUGGAGGGCAUGGCACUACAGAAGGGGAAGCAGGCACCACAGCAGUCCUAUUUCCCCACCCCACACAGGGUGCCCAGUGUCUAAACCUUCCAUGCAACAGAACAACACUCCUCCCCACCCCACAACCCUGCUAUGCUAGGCUGAACUCACCAUGGCUUGAGGUGCAGAGCGGUGCUGUAAUGAAGCACUCCAAACCUAAAGUGACAAUUAUCGUUUCUCAUUAAAAGUAUUUAUGGGAAUAACAUAAGGAAGUUUUUGAGGCAUAGUUUGUCUUUCUGUUGUGACUGUAAGUCUAAUCUAACCCUGUGAGGUUCCUCUUUCACAUCUGCUGAAUGUUUGUACCUGAUCAGGCAGAGAAAGAUGCAGACUAGGGAGGAUUUGUUCUAGAUUGCCCAGUCCUCUACAGCCUCUGAUCAUGAAGCCAGAGCUUGGAGGGGCCAUGUGACUGAGAAUGGAGAGAGCAGUUGCGGCGGGAGAGGGAAGAAGACAGAGAGGGGAAUUGGGAAGGGCACCAGGACAUCAUGGGUUUGCUCAGGCAACAAACUCAUUCAGACCAUGAUGGACCUACAUGCCCAAAAGACCCUGAACUCAGCAGCUUUUCCGAUCCAUAGAAAGCUCCUUGAUUGCUACUUCCUAUUGCCUCCCUU
This 885-nucleotide long non-coding RNA is filed under the name Chrysemys picta bellii (western painted turtle). Its description in RNAcentral is "lncRNA (ENSCPBG00000006670.1)". Lineage: Eukaryota; Metazoa; Chordata; Testudines; Emydidae. The record is from RNAcentral.